Molecule: ribosomal RNA, 405 nt
Filed under: uncultured bacterium
Lineage: Bacteria
Description: partial 16S ribosomal RNA
Rfam family: Bacterial small subunit ribosomal RNA
Source: RNAcentral
AUUGAACGCUAGCGGGAUGCUUUACACAUGCAAGUCGAACGAGUGGCGGACGGGUGAGUAAUAUAUCGGAACGUGCCCAGUAGCGGGGGAUAACUACUCGAAAGAGUGGCUAAUACCCCAUCCUAUUGGAACGGCCUAUAUCGGAUUAGCUAGUUGGGGGGGUAAAGGCUCACCAAGGCAACGAUCCGUCGCUGGUUUGAGAGGACGACCAGCAACACUGGUACUGAGACACGGCCCAGAUGCCUACGGGAGGCAGCAGUGGGGAAUUUUGGACAAGGGGGGAAACCCUGAUCCAGCCAUCCCGCGUGUAUGAGAAGGCCUUCGGGUUGUAAAGUACUUUUGGCAGAGAAGCGGUAUCUGCAGAAUAAGCACCGGCUAACUACGUGCCAGCAGCCGCGGUAAUAC